UGGGGAAUUUUGCACAAUGGGGGAAACCCUGAUGCAGCGACGCCGCGUGAUUUAGAAGGCCUUCGGGUUGUAAAAAUCUUUUCUAUGGGAAGAAAAUGACAGUACCAUAGGAAUAAGGACCGGCUAAUUACGUGCCAGCAGCCGCGGUAAUACGUAAGGUCCGAGCGUUGUCCGGAAUCAUUGGGCGUAAAGGGUACGUAGGCGGGUAAGCAAGUUAGAAGUGAAAUCCUAUAGCUCAACUAUAGUAAGCUUUUAAAACUGCUCAACUUGAGGUAUGGAAGGGAAAGUGGAAUUCCUAGUGUAGCGGUGAAAUGCGGAGAUAUUAGGAGGAAUACCGGUGGCGAAGGCGACUUUCUGGCCAUAACCUGACGCUGAGGUACGAAAGAGUGGGUAGCAAACAGG
This 402-nucleotide ribosomal RNA is filed under the name bacterium. RNAcentral's name for it is "partial 16S ribosomal RNA". It matches the Rfam family "Bacterial small subunit ribosomal RNA", at positions 355 to 776 of the family's 1533-position model. The record is from RNAcentral.